GACGAACGCUGGCGGCGUGCCUAAUACAUGCAAGUUGAGCGAUGAAGAUUGGUGCUUGCACUAAUUUGAAGAGCAGCGAACGGGUGAGUAACGCGUGGGGAAUCUGCCCUUGAGCGGGGGACAACAUUUGGAAACGAAUGCUAAUACCGCAUAACAACUUUAAACAUAAGUUUUAAGUUUGAAAGAUGCAAUUGCAUCACUCAAAGAUGAUCCCGCGUUGUAUUAGCUAGUUGGUGAGGUAAAGGCUCACCAAGGCGAUGAUACAUAGCCGACCUGAGAGGGUGAUCGGCCACAUUGGGACUGAGACACGGCCCAAACUCCUACGGGAGGCAGCAGUAGGGAAUCUUCGGCAAUGGACGAAAGUCUGACCGAGCAACGCCGCGUGAGUGAAGAAGGGUUUCGGAUCGUAAAACUCUGUUGGUAGAGAAGAACGUUGGUGAGAGUGGAAAGCUCAUCAAGUGACGGUAACUACCCAGAAAGGGACGGCUAACUACGUG
Molecule: ribosomal RNA, 497 nt
Filed under: uncultured bacterium
Lineage: Bacteria
Description: partial 16S ribosomal RNA
Rfam family: Bacterial small subunit ribosomal RNA
Source: RNAcentral